ACGGGAGGCAGCAGUCGGGAAUAUUGCUCAAUGGAGGGAACUCUGACGCAGUGACGCCGCGUAUAGGAAGAAGGUUUUCGGAUUGUAAACUCUUUUCGUUAUGGAAGAAAAAAAUGCCAGUACCUAAGGAGGAAGCACCGGCUAACUAUGUGCCAGCAGCCGCGGUAAUACAUAGGGUGCAAGCGUUAUCCGGAUUUAUUGGGUGUAAAGGGUGCGUAGACGGGAAUUUAAGUUAGUUGUGAAAUCCCUUGGCUUAACGGAGGAACUGCAACUAAUACUAAAUUUCUUGAGUGUCGGAGGGGAAAGUGGAAUUCCUAGUGUAGCGGUGAAAUGCGUAGAUAUUAGGAGGAACACCGGUGGCGAAGGCGACUUUCUGGACGAUAACUGACGUUGAUGCACGAAAGUGUGGGGAGCAAACAGGAUUAGAUACCCUGGUA
This 437-nucleotide ribosomal RNA is filed under the name uncultured Oscillospiraceae bacterium. Its description in RNAcentral is "partial 16S ribosomal RNA". It matches the Rfam family "Bacterial small subunit ribosomal RNA", at positions 341 to 792 of the family's 1533-position model. The record is from RNAcentral. Lineage: Bacteria; Bacillati; Bacillota; Clostridia; Eubacteriales; Oscillospiraceae.